UGGGGAAUAUUGGGCAAUGGGAGAAAUCCUGACCCAGCGACGCCGCGUGAGUGAUGAAGGCCCUCGGGUCGUAAAACUCUUUUAUGCAGGAAGAACACAAUGACGGUACUGCAUGAAUAAGCCCCGGCUAACUACGUGCCAGCAGCCGCGGUAAUACGUGGGGGGCGAGCGUUGUUCGGAAUUACUGGGCGUAAAGGGCGCGCAGGCUGUUAAUCAAGUCAGCUGUUAAAUAUUGCGGCUUAACCGUGAUAUGCAGUUGAAACUGUUUGACUGGAGUAUCGGAGAGGUAAGCGGAAUUCCCAGUGUAGCGGUGAAAUGCGUAGAUAUUGGGAAGAACAUCGGUGGCGAAGGCGGCUUACUGGCCGGUAACUGACGCUGAGGCGCGAAAGCCAGGGUAGCAAACG
RNAcentral lists this ribosomal RNA (404 nucleotides) under uncultured bacterium. Its description in RNAcentral is "bacterial SSU rRNA". It matches the Rfam family "Bacterial small subunit ribosomal RNA", at positions 355 to 774 of the family's 1533-position model. The record is from RNAcentral.